RNAcentral lists this unclassified non-coding RNA (860 nucleotides) under Penicillium obscurum. Its description in RNAcentral is "sequence contains 28S rRNA gene". It matches the Rfam family "Eukaryotic large subunit ribosomal RNA", at positions 50 to 928 of the family's 3401-position model. Lineage: Eukaryota; Fungi; Ascomycota; Eurotiomycetes; Eurotiales; Aspergillaceae. The record is from RNAcentral.
GCGGAGGAAAAGAAACCAACAGGGAUUGCCUCAGUAACGGCGAGUGAAGCGGCAAGAGCUCAAAUUUGAAAGCUGGCCCCCUCGGGGUCCGCAUUGUAAUUUGCAGAGGAUGCUUCGGGAGUGGCCCCCAUCUAAGUGCUCUGGAACGGGCCGUCAUAGAGGGUGAGAAUCCCGUAUGGGAUGGGGUGUCCGCGACCAUGUGAAGCUCCUUCGACGAGUCGAGUUGUUUGGGAAUGCAGCUCUAAAUGGGUGGUAAAUUUCAUCUAAAGCUAAAUAUUGGCCGGAGACCGAUAGCGCACAAGUAGAGUGAUCGAAAGAUGAAAAGCACUUUGAAAAGAGAGUUAAAAAGCACGUGAAAUUGUUGAAAGGGAAGCGCUUGCGACCAGACUCGCCUACGGGGUUCAGCCGGUAUUCGUACCGGUGUACUUCCCCGUGGGCGGGCCAGCGUCGGUUUGGGCGGCCGGUCAAAGGCCCUCGGAAUGUAACGCCUCUCGGGGCGUCUUAUAGCCGAGGGUGCCAUGCGGCCAGCCCGGACCGAGGAACGCGCUUCGGCACGGACGCUGGCAUAAUGGUCGUAAGCGACCCGUCUUGAAACACGGACCAAGGAGUCUAACAUCUACGCGAGUGUUCGGGUGUCAAACCCGUGCGCGCAGUGAAAGCGAACGGAGGUGGGAACCCUCACGGGUGCACCAUCGACCGAUCCUGAUGUCUUCGGAUGGAUUUGAGUAAGAGCGUAGCUGUUGGGACCCGAAAGAUGGUGAACUAUGCCUGAAUAGGGCGAAGCCAGAGGAAACUCUGGUGGAGGCUCGCAGCGGUUCUGACGUGCAAAUCGAUCGUCAAAUUUGGGUAUAGGGGCGAAA